This 749-nucleotide ribosomal RNA is filed under the name Rhodococcus (subgen. Prescottella) equi. Its description in RNAcentral is "Rhodococcus hoagii partial 23S ribosomal RNA". It matches the Rfam family "Bacterial large subunit ribosomal RNA", at positions 1 to 679 of the family's 2925-position model. The record is from RNAcentral. Lineage: Bacteria; Bacillati; Actinomycetota; Actinomycetes; Mycobacteriales; Nocardiaceae.
ACAGUGGACGCGAGCAUCUUUGUUGUAAGUGUUUAGAGCGUACGGUGGAUGCCUUGGCACCAGGAGCCGAUGAAGGACGUAGGAGGCUGCGAUAAGCCUCGGGGAGCUGUCAACCGAGCUGAGAUCGAGGAUGUCCGAAUGGGGAACCCAGCCACAGUGAUGUGUGGUUACCCGCGCCUGAAUAUAGGGCGUGGGGAGGGAACGUGGGGAAGUGAAACAUCUCAGUACCCACAGGAAGAAAAACAACAUGUGAUUCCGUGAGUAGUGGCGAGCGAAAGCGGAAGAGGCUAAACCAUGGGUGUGUGAUAGCCGGCGGGCGUUGCAUUCGUGGGUUUGUGGGAUCCGUCUUGUCAAUUCUGCCGAUUGGCCGACAGUGAGAAUCAUCGUGUUAGUCGAAGUGGUCUGGAACGGCCUGUCGUAGAGGGUGAGAGUCCCGUAGACGAAAACAUGGUGACUGUCGUGACGGACACCCGAGUAGCAGCGGGCCCGUGAAAUCUGCUGUGAAUCUGUCGGGACCACCCGAUAAGCCUGAAUACUCCCUGGUGACCGAUAGCGGACUAGUACCGUGAGGGAAAGGUGAAAAGUACCCCGGAGGGGAGUGAAAUAGUACCUGAAACCGUGCGCUUACAAUCCGUCAGAGCCUGCGCCACUUUUGGUGGGUGGGUGAUGGCGUGCCUUGUGAAGAAUGAGCCUGCGAGUUAGCGGCAUGUCGCGAGGUUAACCCGUGUGGGGUAGCCGUAGCGAAAGCG